AGCGAACGCUGGCGGCAGGCCUAACACAUGCAAGUCGAACGAACUCUUCGGAGUUAGUGGCGGACGGGUGAGUAACACGUGGGAACGUGCCUCUUGGUUCGGAAUAACUCAGGGAAACUUGUGCUAAUACCGAAUGUGCCCUUCGGGGGAAAGAUUUAUCGCCAUUAGAGCGGCCCGCGUCUGAUUAGCUAGUUGGUGAGGUAACGGCUCACCAAGGCGACGAUCAGUAGCUGGUCUGAGAGGAUGACCAGCCACACUGGGACUGAGACACGGCCCAGACUCCUACGGGAGGCAGCAGUGGGGAAUCUUGCGCAAUGGGCGAAAGCCUGACGCAGCCAUGCCGCGUGAAUGAUGAAGGUCUUAGGAUUGUAAAAUUCUUUCACCGGGGACGAUAAUGACGGUACCCGGAGAAGAAGCCCCGGCUAACUUCGUG
RNAcentral lists this ribosomal RNA (433 nucleotides) under uncultured bacterium. Its description in RNAcentral is "partial 16S ribosomal RNA". It matches the Rfam family "Bacterial small subunit ribosomal RNA", at positions 29 to 507 of the family's 1533-position model. The record is from RNAcentral.